CCUACGGGGGGCAGCAGUGAGGAAUAUUGGUCAAUGGACGAGAGUCUGAACCAGCCAAGUAGCGUGAAGGAUGACUGCCCUAUGGGUUGUAAACUUCUUUUAUAUGGGAAUAAAAUGUUCCACGUGUGGGAUUUUGUAUGUACCAUAUGAAUAAGGAUCGGCUAACUCCGUGCCAGCAGCCGCGGUAAUACGGAGGAUCCGAGCGUUAUCCGGAUUUAUUGGGGUUAAAGGGAGCGUAGGUGGAUUGUUAAGUCAGUUGUGAAAGUUUGCGGCUCAACCGUAAAAUUGCAGUUGAAACUGGCAGUCUUGAGUACAGUAGAGGUGGGCGGAAUGCGUGGUGUAGCGGUGAAAUGCUUAGAUAUCACGAAGAACUCCGAUUGCGAAGGCAGUUCACUGGACUGCAACUGACACUGAGGCUCGAAAGUGUGGGUAUCAAACAGGAUUAGAUACCCGUGUAGUC
Molecule: ribosomal RNA, 460 nt
Filed under: uncultured bacterium
Lineage: Bacteria
Description: partial 16S ribosomal RNA
Rfam family: Bacterial small subunit ribosomal RNA
Source: RNAcentral